This 351-nucleotide ribosomal RNA is filed under the name uncultured Glomeromycotina. RNAcentral describes it as "partial large subunit ribosomal RNA". The record is from RNAcentral. Lineage: Eukaryota; Fungi; Glomeromycota.
UUGAAAGGGAAACGAUUGAAGUNAGUNGNNUGGCGCGAAAUCAACCUUCUCGUCUUGAGAUCNCAUGGCGUGGCGAGCCUCAAAACCGUCACGAAGCGUGAACUCUUGGUGAAAUGGAGGAUUUGUGUCCGCUGGUUAACAUCAAUUUGAANNNAUAAAAAGGCUGGAGGGAUGUGGUNNUUUGGGAGUGUUAUAACUUUAGGGAAUGUGGUGGUCGGGAUUGAGGAUUGCAACGAAUACCUUUAGGGCUGUUCCACCUGGCUUCUCAUUGGUAUCCUGGUGACGACAGNUCNUGUNGUGUUAGGAUUCGCUUCGACCACCCUAGAGUGUGACGUUAAGGAUGUUGACGUA